RNAcentral lists this long non-coding RNA (259 nucleotides) under Phoenix dactylifera (date palm). RNAcentral describes it as "long non-coding RNA (PDAC_LNC014070)". Lineage: Eukaryota; Viridiplantae; Streptophyta; Magnoliopsida; Arecales; Arecaceae. The record is from RNAcentral.
UCAGCCAACUAGCCGUUUCAUCUGGGAUCAACAAGGAGGGUCUCCCCGGCGGAACUCCGCUCUAGGCGUUUCAUCCGGGAUCACAUCUCCCCUCCUUGAAGUUCAGCCUCCCGAUUGAGCUCUGCGCCAGACGCUCGAUCCGGGACCGCGCCUCCAUAUGCUCUUCUCCCUUGUAUUCCUUCUCUCCCCUAACACUGGGGAGGACCGGAAUAUCCCUUGGAGGUGGCGUUCCCCUGGGGGCAGCGGGAGCUUCUUCUGC